This 206-nucleotide unclassified non-coding RNA is filed under the name uncultured fungus. RNAcentral describes it as "partial contains 18S rRNA, ITS1 and 5.8S rRNA". Lineage: Eukaryota; Fungi. The record is from RNAcentral.
UGGUGAACCAGCGGAGGGAUCAUUACAGAGUUGUAAAACUCCCAAACCCAUGUGAACAUACCUGUUGCCUCGGUGGCCUACCCGGUAGCUACCCUGUAGCUACCCUGUAGUCCGCCGACGGAACUUAAAACUCUUGUUUUCAAUUGUCAUUUCUGAGAAUAAAACAAAUAAGUUAAAACUUUCAACAACGGAUCUCUUGGUUCUGG